GGCUUAGGAUGAACGCUAGCGACAGGCUAACACAUGCAAGUCGAGGGGCAGCAUAGAAGUAGCAAUACGUUGGUGGCGACCGGCGCACGGGUGAGUAACGCGUAUGCAACCUACCUAUCAGGACGGGGAAUAACCCGGCGAAAGUCGGACUAAUACCGCAUAAAACAGGGGCACCGCAUGGUGAUAUUUGUUAAAGAAAUUCGCUGAUAGAUGGGCAUGCGUUCCAUUAGGUAGUUGGUGAGGUAACGGCUCACCAAGCCGACGAUGGAUAGGGGAACUGAGAGGUUGGUCCCCCACACUGGUACUGAGGCACGGACCAGACUCCUACGGGAGGCAGCAGUGAGGAAUAUUGGUCAAUGGGCGGGAGCCUGAACCAGCCAAGUCCGCGUGAAGGAAGGAGGAUCUAUGGUUCGUAAACUUCUUUUGCAGGGGAAUAAAGUGCAGGACGUGUCCUGUUUUGUAUGUACCCUGAGAAUAAGGAUCGGCUAACUCCGUGCCAGCCGCGGC
Molecule: ribosomal RNA, 507 nt
Filed under: uncultured bacterium
Lineage: Bacteria
Description: bacterial SSU rRNA
Rfam family: Bacterial small subunit ribosomal RNA
Source: RNAcentral